GCCGGGGCGUCCCCCGCGGGAGCCCGCAGCCACCCGGGACGCGCAUCCAGACGUGGCGCUUCGGACCGGGCACGCUGCGCCCGGGGGCUCGGCGGACCCCGCGUAGCCGCCGCUUCGGAGCUUGUGCGGCGCGGGCUGGCCAGCGGGGCGGCCAGGGCCCGGCCCGCCUCCCCAGCGCCCGCCCGGCUUCUCCCCCUGGCGGUGGGAGCCUCGGCGGCCGCUGGCGACACUAGGCGCACUGAAGCCCGAGCCGAGCCGAGCCCGAGCCGCCGCCGCCGCCGCCGCUGCUGCGCACCGCUCCCGGGCUCCCUCCCAGCGCGCCGGCCGGGGUGUGGGGGGCGGCGGGCCGGAGGGGCGAGGGCGGGCCAGGGGGCGCACACGGGGGUUGGCGCGGAAGACAGGACCCUCAGCCUCGAGGGAGCCCCUAGGUGACCAGGCAAAAUGGCAGUUCCUUCCAGCUGGUCCUCAGAUGGGCACAUCUAUUAGCCUCUGCUCUUGUAAGAAGUUAGCUGCAGAACCCACAUGUGAAUCCUUGUAGGACUCUGGAGAAGAUCAAAUGGGAGCUUAGAUGUGGAAGCUCUUUGGAAACCAAGAAACACUCUGAAAAUGAAAAGGGUGGAAGAGUAAACUGUUCCUGUUUCUCCAUCUUGACAGGAAGCAGAAGUUCUCCUUAGCUGAUUUUUCUUCUUGCCUUAUACUGGGUUCUUUAACACCAGAACAAAAAUAAAUAAAUAAAAGAAUCUUCCAGAAAUUCAUGAAGAGACUUCAGGUCAGGAAAGCCUGAACUUUCUCAUCCAACACCCGUUCAAGUCGGAGGAUGCUGAUUAAUUCAUGAUGGAAAGGUAUCAAUUUCACAGCCCAGACCUCUACAUUCUUGAAAUGCUCUUCUCAUGGGAGACAUUAAAUAAGCUUUGAAUUAACUGAAGAACCAAUGAUGUGAUCCCUGGAUACUGGCAAUUGUUGCCCAAGAAAACCUCUCCCCUUGCUGUGGGACUGCUGGGCACCCAAAUAAUGCACCCAAAUAAUUUGAUAGCUCUUGUUACACAGCUCUUCUUGGACUAAAAGGCCCUCAGCAUUCCUGUCAAUUUCUACACUCCUGAAGCUUCAUCUGGAGACCUCUGUGGAUUCUAUAACUCAAAGACCCAGGCUGACGGCUGGUGGAAUAGCUACCAUCUCAAACAUGGCGUGAUGCUGCAUCAGAGAGAAAAAUAAGCUCUUGCAUUGACAAUGAAAUGUCUACCCUGUAGUGACUUGUGCUUACUUCCACUCACAAGUGAUUGCCCAGAGCUACUUACCUGGCUCCAAUCUACCACUGGGUCAGACGUUUGCUGAAUUCAGUUCUGAGCUUUUGAACCAAAAGCAGAUCUUCAGAACAAGAAACAAGAUAAUAAAAGAGAAACAUGAAGAAACUGAAGAUGAUUGGAGAAAUAUGAAUCAAGAUGAUUAGACCUAGCAGAGGGCUGGCUGGAUGGCAUUUAUGUUGACAAUGGACUCCUACACAGAGGAUGAUCAUGGUCUAGGACAUAAUAGUCAUUCAAUCAUCAUUUCUUAAAUGAUUUUUUAAAACAAGUGAAUGAAUGACCAAUUAUAUACCUUCCCUGAGCCAAUAAAAUAUAUUAAAAGUAUAGGCCUGGGCACAGUGGCUCAUGCCUGU
Molecule: long non-coding RNA, 1654 nt
Filed under: Homo sapiens (human)
Lineage: Eukaryota; Metazoa; Chordata; Mammalia; Primates; Hominidae
Description: PREDICTED lncRNA (TCONS_00182835)
Source: RNAcentral